AUGGUAGGAUAGAGGCCUACCAUGGUGGUAACGGGUAACGGGGUGUUAGGGCACGACACCGGAGAGGGAGCCUGAGAAACGGCUACCACAUCCAAGGAUGGCAGCAGGCGCGCAAAUUACCCAAUCCCGACACGGGGAGGUAGUGACAAUAAAUAACAAUACGGGGUUCUUUAGGAUCUCGUAAUUGGAAUGAGUACAAUUUAAAUCUCUUAACGAGGAACAAUUGGAGGGCAAGUCUGGUGCCAGCAGCCGCGGUAAUUCCAGCUCCAAUAGCGUAUAUNAAAGUUGUUGCAGUUAAAAAGCUCGUAGUUGAAUUUCGGGGUCAGUAGGUCGGUCGUGCCACUGGUAUGAACUGGUUUUACUGAUUCCUCCCUCUUGAAGAACUGUAAUGCCAUUAAUUUGGUGUUGGAGGGAAUCAGGACUGUUACUUUGAAAAAAUUAGAGUGUUUAAAGCAGGCUUUAGCUUGAAUACAUUAGCAUGGAAUAAUGAAAUAGGACGUUUGAUCCUAUUUUGUUGGUUUCUAGGAUUGACGUAAUGAUUAAUAGGGAUAGUUGGGGGCAUUAGUAUUCAAUUGUCAGAGGUGAAAUUCUUGGAUUUAUUGAAGACUAACUACUGCGAAAGCAUUUGCCAAGGAUGUUUUCAUUAAUCAAGAACGAAAGUUAGGGGAUCGAAGACGAUCAGAUACCGUCGUAGUCUUAACCAUAAACUAUGCCGACUAGGGAUCGGAUGAUGUUAAUUUUUUAAUGACUCAUUCGGCGCCUUACGGGAAACCAAAGUGUUUGGG
Molecule: ribosomal RNA, 785 nt
Filed under: uncultured Glomus
Lineage: Eukaryota; Fungi; Glomeromycota; Glomeromycetes; Glomerales; Glomeraceae
Description: SSU rRNA
Rfam family: Eukaryotic small subunit ribosomal RNA
Source: RNAcentral